UGGAUAGAUUAUUGUAUUCGACUGUAUUCACGGCAUGAAACAGGGGAUUACACUGUUUUUAAACGGAAAGUGAAUCAGUUAACAUAAUAGACUCCU
This 96-nucleotide microRNA precursor is filed under the name Nicotiana sylvestris (wood tobacco). RNAcentral describes it as "MIR6152 microRNA precursor family". It matches the Rfam family "MIR6152 microRNA precursor family". RNAcentral also lists the same sequence under 1 other name. The record is from Rfam by way of RNAcentral. Lineage: Eukaryota; Viridiplantae; Streptophyta; Magnoliopsida; Solanales; Solanaceae.